This 235-nucleotide ribosomal RNA is filed under the name Lotharella oceanica. Its description in RNAcentral is "partial Eukaryotic small subunit ribosomal RNA". It matches the Rfam family "Eukaryotic small subunit ribosomal RNA", at positions 1468 to 1702 of the family's 1831-position model. The record is from RNAcentral. Lineage: Eukaryota; Cercozoa; Chlorarachniophyceae.
UGCCGUUAGAUGUUCUGGGCUGCACGCGCGCUACACUGAUGUACUCACUGAGUGCCCCAUCUUGCCUGUAGAGGUUGGGCAGUCUUGCAAACCUACGUCGUGAUGGGGAUGGAUCAUUGCAACUAUUGCUCCUGAACGAGGAAUUCCUAGUAAAUGUAUGUCAUCAACUUGCAUUGAUUGUGUCCCUGCCUUUUGUACACACCGCCCGUCGCUCCUACCGAUUGAGUGGUCCGGU